UCCAAGGUUCUCAACACCACAAUGGAAACAAAGCAACCUGGGUUCCUAGGCUCCUGGAGCUUGCAAUGUAAAGAAAAACAAAAAAUAGGUGUUCAACAAAUAUGUGACUUCACAGUGUUCUACAAGGGGAAAGAAGAGGAGGAGGAAGAGGAAAGAAAAAAGAAAGAAAGAGAAAGAGAGAAAAAAGAGAGGAGGAAUGAAAGAGGAAUCACAGGGAACCCAUGGGAUGUACUGAAAGACCAAACAAGUUUAACUUGAGGAAGCCCUCUACAAAGUCUGGACAGGAGGAUGAGGAAGGAAGGAGUGAAGUCUGGAAGGAAGCACCCCAGGAAGAGAUGGAAAGUGUACAAAUGUCAUGAGGGCACAGACGGGAAGGGAGAGGCCAAGAACAAAGAACUAAUAACCAGAAAAUAGAAGAAAAUACCAUAUGUCAACUUGGCCACCCUGACCCCUUCCUCGCUGGGGCUGGGUGGCAGAAAACUGGACACCACAGGAAGAGGAAAGAGCUUCGUUCUCCAGUUUGCUGUGUGACCAUGGACAAGGACUGCGAUGGCCAGAUGCCAUCAAGGCAUUCAAGAUUCAUUUCUGGAGAAACCACACCUAAGAUCUAAAGAAACUGAGAGAAGGACUGAGCUGAGCUCUCUAGACAAAUGCAGCGUGGAGGGAAGAACAUAUGUCCUGCACUC
This is a non-coding RNA of Myodes glareolus (Bank vole), 686 nucleotides long. The record is from RefSeq and is a predicted model, not a curated record. Lineage: Eukaryota; Metazoa; Chordata; Mammalia; Rodentia; Cricetidae.